Non-coding RNA from Pelobates cultripes (western spadefoot toad), 534 nucleotides. Lineage: Eukaryota; Metazoa; Chordata; Amphibia; Anura; Pelobatidae. The record is from the annotation of a GenBank genome assembly.
GAUGAGGUAGCCAACACAUUUAUAUUUAUAUAUAUAUAUAUAUAUAUAUAUAUAUAUAUAUAUAUAUAUUUAUUUUCUUAAAUUAUUUUUUAAUUGGUGUAGCCCCAAAAAUAUUGGGACAUAUAAAAAAGACAACUCUGUUCUGCAGAGGAGCUGUUGACAUUAUAGUUGCGCCAGCACUUUUUGACUCUAGAGAACCUCGGGCCAAUCGCACAUCCCCGUGGUGGCAACUUUGCAUGCAGAUGUCAUCCAUACCAACUUUCGAUGCCAGUUUCUGCGCUUACCAUGGUGACCACGGGUAAUGAGGAAUCAGGGUUCCAUUCCGUACAGGGACCCUGAGAAACGGCUGCCACAUGCAUGGAAAAGACCCACUCCUGACGCGGGAAGGUAGUGACGACAAAUAACAAUACAGGACUCUUUAGAGGCCCUGUAAUUGUAAUGGGCCCACUUGAAAUCCUUUAACUCAGAUCAAUUGGAGUGAAGUCUGGUGCAGAGCCACUGACCCGUGUGUGCUGCAGCUGAAACUCCACUAUC